Molecule: non-coding RNA, 25 nt
Filed under: Mus musculus (house mouse)
Lineage: Eukaryota; Metazoa; Chordata; Mammalia; Rodentia; Muridae
Source: RNAcentral
UGGAAAAGCUGCAGCUCGAGAUUCC